RNAcentral lists this ribosomal RNA (1235 nucleotides) under Psychrobacter pulmonis. Its description in RNAcentral is "bacterial SSU rRNA". It matches the Rfam family "Bacterial small subunit ribosomal RNA", at positions 230 to 1458 of the family's 1533-position model. Lineage: Bacteria; Pseudomonadati; Pseudomonadota; Gammaproteobacteria; Moraxellales; Moraxellaceae. The record is from RNAcentral.
CCUAAGUCGGAUUAGCUAGAUGGUGGGUAAAGGCCUACCAUGGCGACGAUCCGUAGCUGGUUUGAGAGGAUGAUCAGCCACACCGGGACUGAGACCCGGCCCGGAUUCCUACGGGAGGCAGCAGUGGGGAAUAUUGGACAAUGGGGGCAACCCUGAUCCAGCCAUGCCGCGUGUGUGAAGAAGGCCUUUUGGUUGUAAAGCACUUUAAGCAGUGAAGAAGACUCCCAUGGUUAAUACCCAUGGACGAUGACAUUAGCUGCAGAAUAAGCACCGGCUAACUCUGUGCCAGCAGCCGCGGUAAUACAGAGGGUGCAAGCGUUAAUCGGAAUUACUGGGCGUAAAGCGAGCGUAGGUGGCUUGAUAAGUCAGAUGUGAAAGCCCCGGGCUUAACCUGGGAACGGCAUCUGAUACUGUUAGGCUAGAGUAGGUGAGAGGAAGGUAGAAUUCCAGGUGUAGCGGUGAAAUGCGUAGAGAUCUGGAGGAAUACCGAUGGCGAAGGCAGCCUUCUGGCAUCAUACUGACACUGAGGUUCGAAAGCGUGGGUAGCAAACAGGAUUAGAUACCCUGGUAGUCCACGCCGUAAACGAUGUCUACUAGUCGUUGGGUCCCUUGAGGACUUAGUGACGCAGCUAACGCAAUAAGUAGACCGCCUGGGGAGUACGGCCGCAAGGUUAAAACUCAAAUGAAUUGACGGGGGCCCGCACAAGCGGUGGAGCAUGUGGUUUAAUUCGAUGCAACGCGAAGAACCUUACCUGGUCUUGACAUAUCUAGAAUCCUGCAGAGAUGCGGGAGUGCCUUCGGGAAUUAGAAUACAGGUGCUGCAUGGCUGUCGUCAGCUCGUGUCGUGAGAUGUUGGGUUAAGUCCCGCAACGAGCGCAACCCUUGUCCUUAGUUGCCAGCGGUUUGGCCGGGAACUCUAAGGAUACUGCCAGUGACAAACUGGAGGAAGGCGGGGACGACGUCAAGUCAUCAUGGCCCUUACGACCAGGGCUACACACGUGCUACAAUGGUAGGUACAGAGGGCAGCUACACAGCGAUGUGAUGCGAAUCUCAAAAAGCCUAUCGUAGUCCAGAUUGGAGUCUGCAACUCGACUCCAUGAAGUAGGAAUCGCUAGUAAUCGCGGAUCAGAAUGCCGCGGUGAAUACGUUCCCGGGCCUUGUACACACCGCCCGUCACACCAUGGGAGUUGAUUGCACCAGAAGUGGUUAGCCUAACCUUUAGGAAGGCGAUCACC